AAAACUUGUUUUAUGCGCGGUAGAGGAGCGUUCCGUAAGCCUGCGAAGGUGGAUUGAGAAGUCUGCUGGAGGUAUCGGAAGUGCGAAUGCUGACAUGAGUAACGAUAAUGCGGGUGAAAAGCCCGCACGCCGAAAGCCCAAGGUUUCCUUGCGCAACGUUAAUCGACGCAGGGUUAGUCGGUCCCUAAGGCGAGGGCGAAAGCCGUAGUCGAUGGGAAGCAGGUUAAUAUUCCUGCACCUCGCGUGAGUGCGAUGGAGGGACGGAGAAGGUUAGGUGUACCGGGCGUUGGUUGUCCCGGGGAAAGGCGGUAGGUUUGGAUCUUUGGCAAAUCCGGGAUCCUUUAAGACCGAGCACCGAGACGAGCCUUUAUGGCGAAGUCACUGAUACCACGCUUCCAGGAAAAGCUCCUAAGCUUCAGCUCACGAAGACCGUACCGUAAACCGACACAGGUGGGUAGGAUGAGAAUUCUCAGGCGCUUGAGAGAACUCGGGUGAAGGAACUAGGCAACAUGGCACCGUAACUUCGGGAGAAGGUGCACCCUUUUUGGUGGCUCAUGCGAGCUAUAGCUGAAGAGGGUCGCAGAAACCAGGCCGCUGCGACUGUUUAUCAAAAACACAGCACUCUGCAAACACGAAAGUGGACGUAUAGGGUGUGACGCCUGCCCGGUGCUGGAAGGUUAAUUGAUGGGGUCAGCCGCAAGGCGAAGCUCUUGAUCGAAGCCCCAGUAAACGGCGGCCGUAACUAUAACGGUCCUAAGGUAGCGAAAUUCCUUGUCGGGUAAGUUCCGACCUGCACGAAUGGCGUAACGACAGCGGCGCUGUCUCCACCCGAGACUCAGUGAAAUUGAAAUCGCUGUGAAGAUGCAGCGUUCCCGUGGCAAGACGGAAAGACCCCGUGAACCUUUACUAUAGCUUUACACUGAACGUUGAGUUCGUCUGUGUAGGAUAGGUGGGAGGCUAUGAAACUGUGGCGCUAGCUGCAGUGGAGCCAUCCUUGAAAUACCACCCUGUCGUGCUUGACGUUCUAACCUAGAUCCGUUAUCCGGAUCAGGGACCGUGUAUGGUGGGUAGUUUGACUGGGGCGGUCUCCUCCUAAAGAGUAACGGAGGAGCACGAAGGUACGCUCAGCGCGGUCGGACAUCGCGCACUGUGUGCAAAGGCAUAAGCGUGCUUGACUGCAAGAUCGACGGAUCAAGCAGGUACGAAAGUAGGUCUUAGUGAUCCGGUGGUUCUGUAUGGAAGGGCCAUCGCUCAACGGAUAAAAGGUACUCCGGGGAUAACAGGCUGAUACCGCCCAAGAGUUCAUAUCGACGGCGGUGUUUGGCACCUCGAUGUCGGCUCAUCACAUCCUGGGGCUGUAGUCGGUCCCAAGGGUAUGGCUGUUCGCCAUUUAAAGUGGUACGCGAGCUGGGUUCAGAACGUCGUGAGACAGUUCGGUCCCUAUCUGCCAUGGGCGUUGGAAGUUUGAGAGGGGCUGCUCCUAGUACGAGAGGACCGGAGUGGACGAACCUCUGGUGUUCCGGUUGUCACGCCAGUGGCAUUGCCGGGUAGCUAUGUUCGGAAGCGAUAACCGCUGAAAGCAUCUAAGCGGGAAGCGCGCCUCAAGAUGAGACUUCCCGGGGCACAAGCCCCCUAAAGGAACCAUAUAGACUAUGUGGUUGAUAGGUCAGGUGUGUAAGUACAGCAAUGUAUUGAGCUAACUGAUACUAAUGAUCCGUGCGGCUUGACC
RNAcentral lists this ribosomal RNA (1729 nucleotides) under Xanthomonas arboricola pv. arracaciae. RNAcentral's name for it is "bacterial LSU rRNA". It matches the Rfam family "Bacterial large subunit ribosomal RNA", at positions 1210 to 2925 of the family's 2925-position model. The record is from RNAcentral. Lineage: Bacteria; Pseudomonadati; Pseudomonadota; Gammaproteobacteria; Lysobacterales; Lysobacteraceae.